Molecule: ribosomal RNA, 253 nt
Filed under: uncultured bacterium
Lineage: Bacteria
Description: partial 16S ribosomal RNA
Rfam family: Bacterial small subunit ribosomal RNA
Source: RNAcentral
UACGGGGGGGGCAAGCGUUAUCCGGAUUCACUGGGUUUAAAGGGUGCGUAGGUGGGUCUGUAAGUCCGUGGUGAAAUCUCCGAGCUUAACUUGGAAACUGCCAUGGAUACUAUAGAUCUUGAAUACUGUGGAGGUUAGCGGAAUAUGUCAUGUAGCGGUGAAAUGCUUAGAUAUGACAUAGAACACCAAUUGCGAAGGCAGCUGGCUACACAAAUAUUGACACUGAUGCACGAAAGCGUGGGGAUCAAACAGG